GAUGAACGCUGGCGGCGUGCCUAAUACAUGCAAGUCGAACGCAUAGCGAAAGGUGCUUGCACCUUUCAAGUGAGUGGCAAACGGGUGAGUAACACGUGGACAACCUGCCUCAAGGCUGGGGAUAACAUUUGGAAACAGAUGCUAAUACCGAAUAAAACUUAGUGUCGCAUGACACAAAGUUAAAAGGCGCUUCGGCGUCACCUAGAGAUGGAUCCGCGGUGCAUUAGUUAGUUGGUGGGGUAAAGGCCUACCAAGACAAUGAUGCAUAGCCGAGUUGAGAGACUGAUCGGCCACAUUGGGACUGAGACACGGCCCAAACUCCUACGGGAGGCUGCAGUAGGGAAUCUUCCACAAUGGGCGAAAGCCUGAUGGAGCAACGCCGCGUGUGUGAUGAAGGCUUUCGGGUCGUAAAGCACUGUUGUAUGGGAAGAACAGCUAGAAUAGGAAAUGAUUUUAGUUUGACGGUACCAUACCAGAAAGGGACGGCUAAAUACGUG
This 497-nucleotide ribosomal RNA is filed under the name uncultured bacterium. Its description in RNAcentral is "partial 16S ribosomal RNA". It matches the Rfam family "Bacterial small subunit ribosomal RNA", at positions 28 to 507 of the family's 1533-position model. The record is from RNAcentral.